RNAcentral lists this ribosomal RNA (254 nucleotides) under uncultured bacterium. Its description in RNAcentral is "partial 16S ribosomal RNA". It matches the Rfam family "Bacterial small subunit ribosomal RNA", at positions 524 to 776 of the family's 1533-position model. The record is from RNAcentral.
UACGUAGGGGGCAAGCGUUGUCCGGAUUUAUUGGGCGUAAAGAGCGUGUAGGCGGCCAUACAGGUCCGUUGUGAAAACUGGAGGCUUAACCUCCAGACGUCGAUGGAAACCGUAUGGCUAGAGUCCGGAAGAGGAGAGUGGAAUUCCUGGAUGUAGCGGUGAAAUGCGCAGAUAUCAGGAAGAACACCCGUGGCGAAGGCGGCUCUCUGGGACGGUACUGACGCUGAGACGCGAAAGCGUGGGGAGCGAACAGG